Molecule: ribosomal RNA, 506 nt
Filed under: uncultured bacterium
Lineage: Bacteria
Description: partial 16S ribosomal RNA
Rfam family: Bacterial small subunit ribosomal RNA
Source: RNAcentral
AUUGAACGCUGGCGGCAUGCUUUACACAUGCAAGUCGAACGGUAGAGGGGGCAACCCCUUGAGAGUGGCGGACGGGUGAGUAAUGCAUCGGAACGUGCCCAGUCGUGGGGGAUAACGCAGCGAAAGCUGUGCUAAUACCGCAUACGAUCUCUGGAUGAAAGCGGGGGACCUUGUAGCAAUACGGGGCCUCGCGCGAUUGGAGCGGCCGAUGUCAGAUUAGGUAGUUGGUGGGGUAAAGGCUCACCAAGCCAACGAUCUGUAGCUGGUCUGAGAGGACGACCAGCCACACUGGGACUGAGACACGGCCCAGACUCCUACGGGAGGCAGCAGUGGGGAAUUUUGGACAAUGGGCGCAAGCCUGAUCCAGCAAUGCCGCGUGCAGGAAGAAGGCCUUCGGGUUGUAAACUGCUUUUGUACGGAACGAAAAGGUCUGGGUUAAUACCCCGGGCACAUGACGGUACCGUAAGAAUAAGCACCGGCUAACUACGUGCCAGCCGCCGCAGUAA